UUAGUGGGGGAGACUCCACGUCGAUUUAUCGAGUAAAAUUCUGUAUACAUAUUGAUAAUGACAAUAUGUACAUUUGUCUUGACUAAUUACGUGCCAGCAGUCGCGGCAAUACGUAAGAGACUAGUGUUAAUCAUCAUAAAUAGGUUUAAAGGGUACUCAGACGGAAAAAUUCGCCCAAAUAUAGGGGACAAUUUUUCUAGAGUUUUAUGUAAGAAGGUCGUACUCUAGAGUGGAGAGAUAAAAUUCUGUGAUACCUAGGGGACGGGUAAAGGCGAAGGCAAUCUUUUAUGUAAAAACUGACGUCGAAGGACGAAGGCAAAGGGAACAAAAAGGAUUAGAUACCCCAGUAGUCUUUGCAGACAAUUAUGAAUGCCAUAGGUUAGAUUUUUAAUUUAGUCUAUAAAUGAAAGUGUAAGCAUUUCACCUCAAGAGUAAGGCGGCAACGCAGGAACUGAAAUCACUAGACCGUUUCUGACACCAGCAAUGAAGUAUGUUAUUUAAUUCGGUGACCCACGAAAAACCUUACCACAAUUUGAAUAUUAAUAAUAAUGAUAUUAUUUUUUAUGCUUGAUAUGGCAAGCACUCAAUUUUCCCCUCCCCGUA
RNAcentral lists this non-coding RNA (603 nucleotides) under Neurospora tetrasperma FGSC 2509. RNAcentral describes it as "Bacterial small subunit ribosomal RNA". It matches the Rfam family "Bacterial small subunit ribosomal RNA", at positions 384 to 1064 of the family's 1533-position model. The record is from Rfam by way of RNAcentral. Lineage: Eukaryota; Fungi; Ascomycota; Sordariomycetes; Sordariales; Sordariaceae.